CAGUCGCCGCGGGAAUACGGAGGGUGCAAGCGUUAAUCGGAAUUACUGGGCGUAAAGCGCACGCAGGCGGUCUGACAAGUCAGAUGUGAAAUCCCCGGGCUUAACCUGGGAACUGCAUUUGAAACUGUCAGGCUGGAGUCUUGUAGAGGGGGGUGGAAUUCCAGGUGUAGCGGUGAAAUGCGUAGAGAUCUGGAGGAAUACCGGUGGCGAAGGCGGCCCCCUGGACAAAGACUGACGCUCAGGUGCGAAAGCGUGGGGAGCAAACAGGAUUAGAUACCCCUGUAGUCCCUGUCUCUUAUCA
Molecule: ribosomal RNA, 301 nt
Filed under: uncultured bacterium
Lineage: Bacteria
Description: partial 16S ribosomal RNA
Rfam family: Bacterial small subunit ribosomal RNA
Source: RNAcentral